GGGCGCACGGUGGAUGCCUUGACACUAGGAGUCGAUGAAGGACGGGACUAACGCCGAUAUGCUUCGGGGAGCUGUAAGUAAGCUUUGAUCCGAAGAUUUCCGAAUGGGGAAACCCACCAUACGUAAUGGUAUGGUAUCCUUAUCUGAAUACAUAGGGUAAGGAAGACAGACCCAGGGAACUGAAACAUCUAAGUACCUGGAGGAAGAGAAAGCAAAUGCGAUUUCCUGAGUAGCGGCGAGCGAAACGGAACAUAGCCCAAACCAAGAGGCUUGCCUCUUGGGGUUGUAGGACAUUCUAUACGGAGUUACAAAGGAACGAGGUAGACGAAGCGACCUGGAAAGGUCCGUCGUAGAGGGUAACAACCCCGUAGUCGAAACUUCGUUCUCUCUUGAAUGUAUCCUGAGUACGGCGGAACACGUGAAAUUCCGUCGGAAUCUGGGAGGACCAUCUCCCAAGGCUAAAUACUCCCUAGUGAUCGAUAGUGAACCAGUACCGUGAGGGAAAGGUGAAAAGCACCCCGGAAGGGGAGUGAAAGAGAUCCUGAAACCGUGUGCCUACAAAUAGUCAGAGCCCGUUAACGGGUGAUGGCGUGCCUUUUGUAGAAUGAACCGGCGAGUUACGAUCCCGUGCGAGGUUAAGCUGAAGAGGCGGAGCCGCAGCGAAAGCGAGUCUGAAUAGGGCGUUUAGUACGUGGUCGUAGACCCGAAACCAGGUGAUCUACCCAUGUCCAGGGUGAAGUUCAGGUAACACUGAAUGGAGGCCCGAACCCACGCACGUUGAAAAGUGCGGGGAUGAGGUGUGGGUAGCGGAGAAAUUCCAAUCGAACCUGGAGAUAGCUGGUUCUCCCCGAAAUAGCUUUAGGGCUAGCCUUAAGUGUAAGAGUCUUGGAGGUAGAGCACUGAUUGGACUAGGGGUCCUCAUCGGAUUACCGAAUUCAGUCAAACUCCGAAUGCCAAUGACUUAUCCUUAGGAGUCAGACUGCGAGUGAUAAGAUCCGUAGUCAAAAGGGAAACAGCCCAGACCGCCAGCUAAGGUCCCAAAGUGUGUAUUAAGUGGAAAAGGAUGUGGAGUUGCUUAGACAACUAGGAUGUUGGCUUAGAAGCAGCCACCAUUUAAAGAGUGCGUAAUAGCUCACUAGUCGAGUGACUCUGCGCCGAAAAUGUACCGGGGCUAAAUACACCACCGAAGCUGCGGAUUGAUACCGAAUGGUAUCAGUGGUAGGGGAGCGUUCUAAGGACAGUGAAGUCAGACCGGAAGGACUGGUGGAGUGCUUAGAAGUGAGAAUGCCGGUAUGAGUAGCGAAAGACGGGUGAGAAUCCCGUCCACCGAAUGCCUAAGGUUUCCUGAGGAAGGCUCGUCCGCUCAGGGUUAGUCAGGACCUAAGCCGAGGCCGACAGGCGUAGGCGAUGGACAACAGGUUGAUAUUCCUGUACCACCUCUUUAUCGUUUGAGCAAUGGAGGGACGCAGAAGGAUAGAAGAAGCGUGCGAUUGGUUGUGCACGUCCAAGCAGUUAGGCUGAUAAGUAGGCAAAUCCGCUUAUCGUGAAGGCUGAGCUGUGAUGGGGAAGCUCCUUAUGGAGCGAAGUCUUUGAUUCCCCGCUGCCAAGAAAAGCUUCUAGCGAGAUAAAAGGUGCCUGUACCGCAAACCGACACAGGUAGGCGAGGAGAGAAUCCUAAGGUGUGCGAGAGAACUCUGGUUAAGGAACUCGGCAAAAUGACCCCGUAACUUCGGGAGAAGGGGUGCUUUCUUAACGGAAAGCCGCAGUGAAUAGGCCCAAGCGACUGUUUAGCAAAAACACAGCUCUCUGCGAAGCCGUAAGGCGAAGUAUAGGGGGUGACACCUGCCCGGUGCUGGAAGGUUAAGGAGAGGGGUUAGCGUAAGCGAAGCUCUGAACUGAAGCCCCAGUAAACGGCGGCCGUAACUAUAACGGUCCUAAGGUAGCGAAAUUCCUUGUCGGGUAAGUUCCGACCCGCACGAAAGGUGUAACGAUUUGGGCACUGUCUCAACCAGAGACUCGGUGAAAUUAUAGUACCUGUGAAGAUGCAGGUUACCCGCGACAGGACGGAAAGACCCCGUGGAGCUUUACUGUAGCCUGAUAUUGAAUUUUGGUACAGUUUGUACAGGAUAGGCGGGAGCCAUUGAAACCGGAGCGCUAGCUUCGGUGGAGGCGCUGGUGGGAUACCGCCCUGACUGUAUUGAAAUUCUAACCUACGGGUCUUAUCGACCCGGGAGACAGUGUCAGGUGGGCAGUUUGACUGGGGCGGUCGCCUCCUAAAGUGUAACGGAGGCGCCCAAAGGUUCCCUCAGAAUGGUUGGAAAUCAUUCGUAGAGUGCAAAGGCAUAAGGGAGCUUGACUGCGAGACCUACAAGUCGAGCAGGGACGAAAGUCGGGCUUAGUGAUCCGGUGGUUCCGCAUGGAAGGGCCAUCGCUCAACGGAUAAAAGCUACCCCGGGGAUAACAGGCUUAUCUCCCCCAAGAGUCCACAUCGACGGGGAGGUUUGGCACCUCGAUGUCGGCUCAUCGCAUCCUGGGGCUGUAGUCGGUCCCAAGGGUUGGGCUGUUCGCCCAUUAAAGCGGUACGCGAGCUGGGUUCAGAACGUCGUGAGACAGUUCGGUCCCUAUCCGUCGUGGGCGUAGGAAAUUUGAGAGGAGCUGUCCUUAGUACGAGAGGACCGGGAUGGACGCACCGCUGGUGUACCAGUUGUUCUGCCAAGGGCAUAGCUGGGUAGCUAUGUGCGGAAGGGAUAAGUGCUGAAAGCAUCUAAGCAUGAAGCCCCCCUCAAGAUGAGAUUUCCCAUAGCGUAAGCUAGUAAGAUCCCUGAAAGAUGAUCAGGUUGAUAGGUUCGAGGUGGAAGCAUGGUGACAUGUGGAGCUGACGAAUACUAAUAGAUCGAGGACUUAACCAU
Molecule: ribosomal RNA, 2909 nt
Filed under: Bacillus cereus AH1134
Lineage: Bacteria; Bacillati; Bacillota; Bacilli; Caryophanales; Bacillaceae
Description: bacterial LSU rRNA
Rfam family: Bacterial large subunit ribosomal RNA
Source: RNAcentral